UCUAGGCGACAUGGCCUCAUUCGAAUGUUCGCGCUGUUUUGAUCCCCAGAUGAUCGUCGCUUGUCCCGAUGUGCACCUGCAGGAGAUCUAGAGUUGAGAGGGAUAGGAAAGGGUCUCAGCGGGGUUUUACAGGCCGCAAUAACGGAACGAUUACAUGAAAAUUGGUUGCUUAGAUUUCAAUGCCACCGGGAUUUACUAGUUCAGAGAAGAUGAAUGCUGGGGCACUCGCAGCUUAAAGUGCAAUUGUCAUCGAUAAAUUUAAUGUAAAUAACUUUUUAAAACUGUCUAUCUGAAUCCGUUGCUUUCGACGAUGCUCGGCAGUAUCCAUGGGUGGGGGUAGGCUGGAGGGUGGUGGAGGGGAAGGGUGCGGUAGGGACAACAACCAGACGACGACGACGCAGGCCUGAACGCUUACGAGAGCUACUAUUUCCAGUCAAACGGGAUGUUUCCGUCUUUAUGUAGUAAAAGAAGCCUAUAUGCCCAAGGAAAAAUUAAUCGUGGAUUCCCUGGAUACGAAGAUGUCGAAUAUAGUUCUCUAGUUUUCUUGUAAAUCGUUCUGUCGCCGCACUGAAACCCCUGUAGGGGUUAUGGUCUCUUUCCUCCCCCACCAUCCCCCACCACCCCGCUCAUCCGCUCAAGCAAGUUGUUGUUUCUCGUAGAAGGCGUGUGCUCGAUUCUUCCAAGCAUCGUCGAAAGAUCGGCUCCUGUGUCCAGUCCCCUAACAGAUGUACGUCUCCUGGCACCUGCCCUAUUAAGAUGCUGUCAAGUAUUGCAACUCGCGUGGAGCGUGGGAAAUGUGCCCCGGAUUGUGUUAAUUCGGUUCCAUUCGAUGAGGUUUAGAACCAUUAGAACCACAAGAUCAUUCCAAUGCUCAAUGUACUCGAUGCAAACAAAAGACUCACCAAUCACACUCUCCAAGUUUCACCUCUCCUUCACUCUCUAGCCGUUUGUCGUGGUGUAACUAGUGUGUCAGCAUAUGGUGGGUCGGAGGGCUGAAAGUUUUGCCCAAUGAUAAACAACUUCUAUCCUCGUAACAUACCAUGAAGGUAGUGCAGUGAUUGUGAAUAAAUUUGUGUCUUAUUGACAA
Long non-coding RNA from Frankliniella occidentalis (western flower thrips), 1087 nucleotides. RefSeq lists it as uncharacterized. The transcript has 3 exons. NCBI's taxonomy places the organism in Eukaryota, Metazoa, Arthropoda, Insecta, Thysanoptera, Thripidae. The record is from RefSeq and is a predicted model, not a curated record.